GGCUGUUGGCUCUCCCCGACCUGUGCCUUAACUCCUAUGCCAGUUUGUUAGUCCAUCGUCGGGGCGCCGAUGAAAAAAAACCAGGGGUAGAUUGUAGUGGGGUAGGUUCACCCCCUCUGAACCUCCCGUGCUGUCACGUCAUUAUUAGCUAAUUACUUGUCAAUCCCCCUGAUUAGCAGCCGCUGCCAAAACACCUUUAAAAAGACCUGGAAGUACCGGUGAGUGACUGCGCUGGUAACUUUUGCUCUCCCCCCUCAUUGAGAUGGCUCCCUGUCUGUUGCGCUUCCUUGCAAUGUCCGUCCUCCACCGUUCCCGUUGAGGGUAUUCCUGCUCUUUGCCAGCUCAGUACGGAUCUUUGACUUCGCCGCCAUUGUCUCUGGAGCGGGUGCAUGUAGCCUGGUUGACUGGAGGGCCGGACUUCACGGGCGUUGCUGUUUUGUCUUACGAUUUGGUUUCCGUCUAGUGUUCAUCUCGUCUCCUUCGUCUCCUGUUUGUAUCUGUGA
Molecule: long non-coding RNA, 503 nt
Organism: Sardina pilchardus (European sardine)
Lineage: Eukaryota; Metazoa; Chordata; Actinopteri; Clupeiformes; Clupeidae
Exons: 3
Source: RefSeq, a predicted model, not a curated record